This 2307-nucleotide long non-coding RNA is filed under the name Homo sapiens (human). RNAcentral describes it as "HSALNT0027267". The record is from RNAcentral. Lineage: Eukaryota; Metazoa; Chordata; Mammalia; Primates; Hominidae.
UGCACCUCGCUGCUCCUCGGCCCUCGCGGCCCAAACCUGGCCCUGCCGGGUCCCAGCCCCCAGUGGCUUUCGGGACAGGGGCGGAGCCGGGCACCGGUUCUGUUCCCCUAACCCUUGGCCUCUGGCCUGCUGGUAUAGAAGAGGCCGAGAGGCGGCGCCCGGGAGGGGCCAGCCCUGCGCCCGCGCCCCCCGCCCCCACGCCGCAGGAAGUGGCCCGGGCGGCCUAGGAAGGGGAAGAGCCGAGUUGCCCCAGCCCCGCACCCCCAGCCCCAGCCCCGCGUGCAGCUCGCACCCCUUCCCACGCCUGUUCGGGGGAGAGCCCCGGGCCUGGAGUGGGAAGCCUGGCUCCAGCUCUGGUUACCUGCAGUGACUCCCCAGGCCGUUUAGGCGAGUCCAUUGGGCCGCCUCUGCCUCGGUUUCCCCACCUAACCACGGAAGGUGCUCCUCCCUUCCAGGCAUCUGUGGUCUUCGAGCUCCACGCGGGAGAGGCGCCGGUCUGGCACCUCCUGCCCAGGGUCGGCGCCUCCUGGCUCUCGGGGAGGGGGGCAUCCUCCAUCCCCUGCACCUGCCUCGAGAGGAACCAGGGACAGAGCACCCCCACCCCCACCAGGAGCUCCGGAAAAACGGCUUCAGAAGAGCAAAUAUACACACACACCCACCUCCCGCCCCAAACAUCCCCGAAGAAAGGUAACCACAGAAACAGCCAGAAAUGUGGAGCUGGGCGAUCGUAUGAGGCUGAGACAAAACUGUCUUUCUAGCGUCUCUAGGGGAGAGCUUGAAUCCCUCCUUCCACUCCUCCUCCACGGAAAACAGAGUGAACUCCUGCUACAGAGGCCGCCAGAGCAACAUGCAAGACCAGCUUUGAGGGGAGCGGGCACAGGGCCUUGCAGGGAAGGUGGGCCGAGCCCAGACCCCUCAUUCUUACUUGGCUCUGAAGGCGGAAAGGCAAAGCUAGACCUCGAGGAAGUUCCCCUCCCUGUGGGCCCUACAGUGAAGAUUACAUGAAGGCAUGUGGGCGGUGGACCAGAGUGCACCGACUGAUGAAGGCGGCCCGGUACCCGCGGGUGCCAUGCCUCCUUCUUAGCCAAGGCCACUCUAGCUCCCCGUGAAGUAUCCAGGUAGAAGGCUGGUGGGGUUACAGGAGUGUAUCUCUCUCAGAUGAGAUACAAGUUGGUCCCUUCCCUUGCGUCCCUCCUGUUCCUUCAAGAGGAGGACUGUCUACCCACCCCGAAGCUUCAUGGAGAGAGAGCACACCGUCGUUAUUCAAUAUGUAGUUUUGAAUUUAACUAGAGCAAAGAAGAAAGCAAAUUCAGUCACAUCAUGGCCCAGAAUGGCUGCAAAACCUCUAGCAUUUACUUCCUUAUUCCAGGUGGAAGGAAGAAGAAAAGGGAAAAGGGCUGUCCCCAUCCUUCUAAGGAGAUGGUGCAGUGGCUCACCUUUGGGAGGCCGAGGCAGGCAGAUCACUUGAGCUCAGCAGUUUGAGACCAGCCUGGGUAACAUAGUGAAACCCCAUCUCUACAGAAAUUAAAAAAUUAGCCAGACAUGGCGGCGCACACCUGUGGUCCCAGCUACUCAGGAGGCUGCGGCAGAAGUAUGCCUUGAGCCAAAGAGGCAGAGAUUGCAGUGAGCCAAGAUCAUGCUACUGCACUCCAGCCUGGGCAACGAAGCAAGACUGUCUCAGGAAAAAAAAAAAAAAUGAUCAUUUUUCUCUGUCCACUUGGUGGGUCAACUGAAUGGUAUUCCUGUGUCUUCUACUCUCCUCCCACUUGGAAACCCACUGAGAUGCUCUUCCGAAGGCCAGUGCAUGCUGGGCCACACGAGACAGAGCUCAGGCUGGAGGAGCCUCAUACCCGCCCCUCUAGAUGCUUAUAAAAAUACUUCCCACCUUUGAAUCAAGUGGAAAAUGAGGCUCUCCAGUCAAAAGCCGCGACUGUAUAGAAAGCCCUGAGUUGCCCAAUCUGUUCACAUGGCAUCACCAACCUCUGUGUCAUCAUCAAGCUGUCCAGGGGACUCGAUGGCCACCUGGCCAGGAACUGCGGGCUGAUUGGAAGCUGUUGUUCCCAUUGUAUAAUCACACACAUCAUAAAAUAAUCAGUCUUGUCUCUAUUUACAAUUUUGAUGUUUUGUUCAUCACAAAUUUUUAUAUUAAUUUUUAGUUUAACAAACAUUGCACUAAAAUAAUGUUUCUCUUGAUGACCGAGUUUGGGUGCCCUUUCUAUUCUGUGUACAAGAUGAGAGCCUCACUGGCCUCCCCCAAUCCUGGCACUGCCGGAGGCUUUCCUGCGCCCCCUGUGUACUUGUAAGUGC